UGGGGAAUUUUCCGCAAUGGGCGAAAGCCUGACCGGAGAGCAAUACCGCGUGAGGGAAGAAGGUCUUUGGAUCGUAAACCUCUUUUCUCAGGGAAGAAGUUCUGACGGUACCUGAGGAAUAAGCCUCGGCUAACUCCGUGCCAGCAGCCGCGGUAAUACGGAGGAGGCAAGCGUUAUCCGGAAUUAUUGGGCGUAAAGCGUUCGCAGGUGGCUCGUCAAGUCUGCUGUCAAAGACCGGAGCUUAACUCCGGGUAGGCGGUGGAAACUGAAGAGCCUUAGAGUGCGGUAGGGGUAGAGGGAAUUCCCAGUGUAGCGGUGGAAAUGCGUAGAGAUUGGGAAGAACACCGGUGGCGAAAGCGCUCUACUAGGCCGCAACUGACACUUCAGGGCCGAAAGCUAGGGGAGCGAAUGGGAUUAGAUA
RNAcentral lists this ribosomal RNA (421 nucleotides) under uncultured cyanobacterium. Its description in RNAcentral is "bacterial SSU rRNA". It matches the Rfam family "Bacterial small subunit ribosomal RNA", at positions 355 to 784 of the family's 1533-position model. The record is from RNAcentral. Lineage: Bacteria; Bacillati; Cyanobacteriota.